This 500-nucleotide ribosomal RNA is filed under the name uncultured bacterium. Its description in RNAcentral is "partial 16S ribosomal RNA". It matches the Rfam family "Bacterial small subunit ribosomal RNA", at positions 30 to 523 of the family's 1533-position model. The record is from RNAcentral.
AUUGAACGCUGGCGGCAUGCCUUACACAUGCAAGUCGAACGGCAGCACGGGAGCAAUCCUGGUGGCGAGUGGCGAACGGGUGAGUAAAGUAUCGGAACGUGCCCAGUCGUGGGGGAUAACGUAGCGAAAGUUACGCUAAUACCGCAUACGAUCUAUGGAUGAAAGCGGGGGAUCGCAAGACCUCGCGCGAUUGGAGCGGCCGAUAUCAGAUUAGGUAGUUGGUGGGGUAAAGGCGCACCAAGCCGACGAUCUGUAGCUGGUCUGAGAGGACGACCGGCAACACUGGGACUGAGACACGGCCCAGACUCCUACGGGAGGCAGCAGUGGGGAAUUUUGGACAAUGGGCGAAAGCCUGAUCCAGCCAUGCCGCGUGCAGGAUGAAGGCCUUCGGGUUGUAAACUGCUUUUGUACGGAACGAAAAGGUUUGGGCUAAUAAGCUGAGCUCAUGACGGUACCGUAAGAAUAAGCACCGGCUAACUACGUGCCAGCCGCCGCCGUAA